UUCUAGGUGACUGAGUUAAAGUGCUAGACUUUUAAUCUAGAGACAGCAUAUAAUAAAUGUGCUCCUAGAAG
Molecule: transfer RNA, 71 nt
Filed under: Conus textile (cloth-of-gold cone)
Lineage: Eukaryota; Metazoa; Mollusca; Gastropoda; Neogastropoda; Conidae
Description: tRNA-Lys
Rfam family: tRNA
About the family: Transfer RNA (tRNA) molecules are approximately 80 nucleotides in length.
Source: RNAcentral